This is a small nucleolar RNA of Scomber japonicus (chub mackerel), 132 nucleotides long. NCBI's taxonomy places the organism in Eukaryota, Metazoa, Chordata, Actinopteri, Scombriformes, Scombridae. The record is from RefSeq and is a predicted model, not a curated record.
GUGCACUGUUCGUAACCUGGUUCAGUCUUCAGUAUGAGCUUGGGUUCCAUUCCAGUGCAAUAGUGAACUCCAGUGAGGCAGGGGAGUGGUACCGUUUUGUGCUCACUCCCUGUUCACUCUCUGGGAACACCG